CCCUUGCCCUUCCACCCCAUCUUCUGGAGCAGCCUGAAUCCGACGUUGGAGGAGGUGAGCUGCGUGUCGACGGACGCCUGCUCCAGCCCCUCCGUGUCGAGAUUCUCUGUGGGGCGGUGGUUCAUCGGGCUGGCGCUGCUGCUGCGGCCAGGCGAGGAGGGUCGCCGCCGCCGUCCAGAUCCACCACCGUGCCUACCGCACGCCGAGCUCCUCCGUAGGGCGGCGGAUCCGGCCCUCCUGAGGACGGUGCCGCCGGAUCCGCCGUUGCAGGCCGUCGCCGUGGCCGCCGCCCGCUGCCCGCCGCCAUCGGGGAAGGGAGGUCGCCGCCGCGCAUGGGAGGUCGGGGAAGGGAGGCCGCCGCCGCCGGUGCCGAGCCCGCCGCUCCCGCUCGCCGCGCCGCGCAUCUCCCGUGCUCGCCGUCGGUGAGAGAAAGGAAAGGAGGAAAGAGUAAGAGGCUGAAAGGAGGAUAAGGA
Molecule: long non-coding RNA, 473 nt
Filed under: Oryza sativa Indica Group (long-grained rice)
Lineage: Eukaryota; Viridiplantae; Streptophyta; Magnoliopsida; Poales; Poaceae
Description: lncRNA OsMH63_05G008160
Source: RNAcentral